RNAcentral lists this ribosomal RNA (274 nucleotides) under uncultured bacterium. RNAcentral's name for it is "partial 16S ribosomal RNA". It matches the Rfam family "Bacterial small subunit ribosomal RNA", at positions 523 to 796 of the family's 1533-position model. The record is from RNAcentral.
AUACGGAGGGUGCGAGCGUUAAUCGGAAUUACUGGGCGUAAAGCGUGCGUAGGCGGUUUGCUAAGUCAGAUGUGAAAGCCCCGGGCUUAACCUGGGAACUGCAUUUGAUACUGGCAGACUAGAGUAUGAUAGAGGGGGGUAGGAUUCCUGGUGUAGCGGUGAAAUGCGUAGAUAUCAGGAGGAAUACCAGUGGCGAAGGCGGCCCCCUGGAUCAAUACUGACGCUGAGGUACGAAAGCGUGGGGAGCGAACAGGAUUAGAUACCCUUGUAGUCC